UGUGUGUGUGUGUGUGUUCAGUAAAGUGCUUUCACAGGAAUAAUGGAUGAAGCUUUUAUCCUGACGCUCUCCUGUGUGUGUUUCAGCGGCUGCAGGACGUAUUCCUGGAGUUCAGCCACCAGGAUCUGCUGGAGUUCUACAAUCAGAUGGAGACGGUUCAGACUCAGCUGGACUCGCUGGCGUGAAUCAGUGUUGAGGAUUCAUUAAAGCUGCUUUACUCUGA
Danio rerio (zebrafish) is the source of this 223-nucleotide non-coding RNA. Lineage: Eukaryota; Metazoa; Chordata; Actinopteri; Cypriniformes; Danionidae. The record is from RefSeq and is a predicted model, not a curated record.